Pygocentrus nattereri (red-bellied piranha) is the source of this 1167-nucleotide long non-coding RNA. NCBI's taxonomy places the organism in Eukaryota, Metazoa, Chordata, Actinopteri, Characiformes, Serrasalmidae. The record is from Ensembl.
GAAAUGAUUCCCCUGACUGAAGAUAUCAUGAAGUUGCAGAAACAUCUUAAAGCACUGGAAAAAGAUGCAGUGCUUGGACUCUCGGUUGCACCCAGUGUUUCAGACUGGAAGAAACUUUGUCAGAGCCUUCUCACACAGAUAAUCCUCUUCAAUAGAAGGAGGGAAGGAGAAGCCUCAAAAUUACUCCUGGCAACAUACCAAACACGGAACAGAGCUCCAGCUCACCCAGAAGUGUACGAGAGCCUUUCCAAACUUGAAAAGUCACUUGUCAACAACUUCACGCGACUGGAGAUACGAGGGAAGAGAGAGCGAAAAGUCCCAUUGCUCCUCACACAUGACAUGGAGGCAUCGAUAGACAUUCUGAUAAGCAACCGAACUGCAGUAGGUAUCUGCAGUGAAAACCCUUUUGUGUUUGCCCGAAUUUCAGGAACCAGCCAUAUGAGAGGGUCAGACUGCCUCCGCCAAUUUUCAUUGGAAUGCCAGGCCAAACAUCCAGAGUGUUUAAGAUCCACCAGAUUAAGGAAGCACAUAGCCACUCUUUGCCAAAUGAUGAACUUGAAAAAUUCAGAAAUGGAUCAGGUGGCAAAGUUCAUGGGUCACGAUAUACGUGUCCACCGUGAAUAUUACAGACUCUCUGAAAACACCAUUCAGCUUGCUAAAAUUAGCAAACUGUUGAUUGCCAUAGAGAAAGGAAAUCACACUUAUCUGGGACGGUCUCUAGAGGAGCUGGAGCUGGAUGGAGACACUCUGGAUGGUGAAAAAUCAGAUGGUGAAUGUCCGCCAGGCGAAAAGAAGCAAAAGACAUCCUCGAGAGCUCCAUCCCCUCAGGAUCAUUUGGAGACGGGUGUCGAGGGUUCUUGUGGAGAACAACAAUCAGGUAUGUCAGUGUAUCAGAGUAGUGUUUUCCAGUGUGCGCAAUGCAUUUCUGUUAAAUGUUGUAUUCUGUCUGACUCAGAUCUAGUAACUGAUAUGUUGUGUUUGGUUAUUUGUGUUAUUCCAGAUGGUGAAUGUCUGCCAGGCAAAAAGAAGGAAAAGAGGUCCUCAAAGGCUUCAUCCCCGAAAGAUAAGUUAGCAACAUGUGAAGAGGAUUCUUGUGGAGAAGAAAAAUCAAGUAUGGGAAAGUAGUACAGAGACACAUUUUCAGUUUUCCAACAGUUCAGAUCAGUG